Molecule: ribosomal RNA, 253 nt
Filed under: uncultured bacterium
Lineage: Bacteria
Description: partial 16S ribosomal RNA
Rfam family: Bacterial small subunit ribosomal RNA
Source: RNAcentral
UACGUAGGGUGCGAGCGUUAAUCGGAAUUACUGGGCGUAAAGCGUGCGCAGGCGGUUCGUUGUGUCGGCGGUGAAAGCCCCGGGCUCAACCUGGGAAUGGCCGUUGAAACUGGCGAACUGGAGUGUGGCAGAGGGGGGUGGAAUUCCAGGUGUAGCGGUGAAAUGCGUAGAGAUCUGGAGGAACACCGAUGGCGAAGGCAGCCUUCUGGGCCAACACUGACGCUCAUGCACGAAAGCGUGGGGAGCAAACAGG